This 200-nucleotide ribosomal RNA is filed under the name uncultured bacterium. Its description in RNAcentral is "partial 16S ribosomal RNA". It matches the Rfam family "Bacterial small subunit ribosomal RNA", at positions 8 to 210 of the family's 1533-position model. The record is from RNAcentral.
AGAGUUUGAUCCUGGCUCAGGACGAACGCUGGCGGCGUGCCUAAUACAUGCAAGUCGAGCGGACUUAUCUUUCGGGGUAAGUUAGCGGCGGACGGGUGAGUAACACGUAGGCAACCUGCCUGUAAGACCGGGAUAACUACCGGAAACGGUAGCUAAGAGCGGAUAGCCGGGCUGAACGCAUGUUCGGUUCAUGAAACACG